RNAcentral lists this transfer RNA (52 nucleotides) under Pinus brutia (Turkish pine). Its description in RNAcentral is "partial tRNA-Leu". The record is from RNAcentral. Lineage: Eukaryota; Viridiplantae; Streptophyta; Pinopsida; Pinales; Pinaceae.
ACUUGAACCCUCACGGUCUAUAAAGCCAACGGAUUUUAAGUCCGUAGCGUUC